UACGUAGGAGGCGAGCGUUGUCCGGAUUUACUGGGCGUAAAGCGCGCGCAGGCGGCACUGUAAGUAAGGUGUGAAAUCUCCCUGCUCAACGGGGAGGGUGCAUUUUAGACUGCAGAGCUAGAGGACGGUAGAGGGGGGUGGAAUUGCUGGUGUAGCGGUGAAAUGCGCAGAUAUCAGGAGGAACACCGAUGGCGAAGGCAGCUCGCUGGGACGGUACUGACGCUGAGGCGCGAAAGCGUGGGGAGCGAACAGG
This 253-nucleotide ribosomal RNA is filed under the name uncultured bacterium. Its description in RNAcentral is "partial 16S ribosomal RNA". It matches the Rfam family "Bacterial small subunit ribosomal RNA", at positions 524 to 776 of the family's 1533-position model. The record is from RNAcentral.